Molecule: non-coding RNA, 25 nt
Filed under: Cricetulus griseus (Chinese hamster)
Lineage: Eukaryota; Metazoa; Chordata; Mammalia; Rodentia; Cricetidae
Source: RNAcentral
AAAGAUUUUAGAAUAUAGGGAUUUA